UAGAGAAGUCUUUAUCACUCCUGGUUUGUUCCAUACUUUCUUUUCAUAAAUGUAUCAGAAAGAUAGUGCUCCAUCCUAGCUUCUAGCAGGGCAUUAACACUCAACCCAGUCAAACUAAACGUGAAGAAAAAUAUUUUUAUAUAUCCAGAGGAAAACUUUAUCCUAUCUUGAGUUACACCAUUUCCUGGAAUCUAAUGCAACUUUCAGUUCACAGGAUACAGAACUGUCAUCACUUAGUCAUAUAUUCAUGCUGUUUGAUUGUUGAUUACCUGGUGGCUUGCUUACUUAACAAUCUCUGACUGACAGGAUUAGCUCAAGCAGUGCUGUAUACUGACAUCACAGAAAGAGUUAGUGGUUAUUUCAUUGUUAAGAGAUCUUAAGAGAAUGGCCAAAGUUUAAAUGAGUACAUACUGGAUUAUCAUUGUCUUGUUGAUGAUUCUCCUGAGUAGGGACUUACUGUUAGAAAGCAAGUUUCAAUUGCCCACUCUUCAUUUUCAAUAUUUAAAUAGACUUAAGGAUGAAAGUGAUGUUAUAAGAAGUCAGUAAUUCUUCUGGUUCUUAAGAGCUAAUAAUUUCAAAUAAACGUAAAACUUAUCCUUUAAAGUCUGAAGAGAACAAACCGCAUUUAUACAAUGUAGAGAAAUAGCAAAUAUUGAACUCUAUGCAGGCAGUAAAUUUUUUAUUUAGUAUUUAAUAAUAGGCCUACAAGAUUAGACUUAAAACAAUGAAAAAAUUAAAGGGCCAUUCUAAGGGAAUAAGUCAGUUUUAAUGGGUGAAGUUUUAUUGUCAUAUUCUAGUUAACAGACACUGCAUCCACUUUACUUCAAUUAUCAACAGUAUCUCAUGUUUUUCCCAAAUGAAGUCUGGAGACACAUUGUCACUGGGUACUACCUGAGUGAGUUUAGAAAAUAUUUCUUGUGACCUGCUGAUUUGCAUUCAAUUCCCAUGCCUCCGUCAAAAUGUUGAUAUUUGAUUGAAAAUUAUUCUGAACAGUCACAUUGCCUUGCUUCUUGCCUCAGAACCACCUCUCUUCUAACACUGCCUUCUCUUUCCGUAUCUUCCACCAAUCUCAUACCUGUCUUUGUUCCAACACAGUCUGACAUCCCUGUUUUCAGUCCAGCCACAUGCAGCCUGGUAGUUCCAGAAGUCUUUAUGCCAGUUGCAGAAGUAUUGAUGGUAACUACUGGAAGGUAGCUAUUGGUGGUAGGUGGGAAGGAAGGAAGAUUUGGGAAGGGAACUGGGACAGGCCUUAAGGGUAGGAUGUGAGGGGCACGGAUUUGCUAUACUGGAAUAGAAGGUGUAAGACAACUAAUGCAUUUAUUUUAAUAACUACAUUUUAAAGUAUCAACACUUUCUUACAUCUGCAAAGGAAUGAAAAGCUAUAGUUACCUAUAACUGUUCCAGCUGUCCUAAUGAAUGAAUCUCUUAAGUACCAGGAGGACUUUGGAGGGCAUCAACAUACCAUCCUAAAACACUGUUUUAUCUUUUAAAAAAUAAAUAACCAUCUAAUUGGAAGUAACUAUGUUUAUGUCUUAUACGUACUGGAUGAAAAUUGAAUGGUUACUGGCCAUAUUACUUAAAAACAAAGAUGAGCUCUAAUUUUAAUUGUUAUGACAAUGUUUUAGGUAUUCGUUAAAGGCUUCAUUGGCAUAGCAUUGGUAUAUAUAACUUCUGGUCAAGUUCUAGAACUGUGUUUUGGAUGCAUGCUUAGCAAUAUAAGCCAAUUAAUCUUUCUAUACCUACACUGAACUAAUGCUUGUUUUCUGGGACUGCUAAAAUUCAAGGAAAAGCCAGAUAGUAUUGUGAUGGCCAAAUCUUCGAUGCUAGAGCAAUCACUGGAAUACAUAAGUGUAAACUUAAUUUUUGAAAUCCUGAUCUCUGGGAUUAUUUGCAUAGUCUCCAGGUACAUUUGCAAUUGGUUUCAGCAGGCUGGAUAUUCACACAAGAGUUUUCAUAAUGGGAAAUAACAAAGAAAGGACUAAUGGACUAAACCCCAGAAGCUAUCUCCAGACGUGGAUGAAUAACCUUAAACACUCUCUUAGAAUUGCAAGAAUUUAUUGAUAUGCUUAGUUGUCUUAUAAGAUAUAGACAAGUUAUGUCUUGACCUAAGACAACUUAGGGCUGCAAGAAUUUACUAAUAUGCUUAAUUAACUGGUAAGAUGCAGCUGGUUUUGGUCAGGAGAUACCCUGAAGGGAGUCUCCAUACAUGACUCGAGAACCUAAAUAAACAUUCUUUGAGGACUUAAACGGUUCUUUGUCUAAAACUAGUCUGUCUACCCACUGCUUUGGUAAGAUGGUUUGCCUUUUUAGCAGGGCAUCCACUUCAGCACCGAAUUGUAAAAUAAAAAUGUUAUUGACUUUGCUUCGAGGACUUUGUCCUUUUCAAUAUUUUACCAGUGCACAAGUGUUUCUCGCACAAUUAAAACUGAAGGAAAAAUAUAGAUUGAACUAUAGCUUUGCCAUCCACGGGGCCCUGCAGAGGUGAGCUUGGAACAAUCGCUCCGCCCUUCUAUUUGUUCUGUGCUGUCCAAGAAGAGUGAAAGUGAUGAAUUAUGGCACAAGCAGCGCCUGGGGAGCGUGACACUGGACUUCAGCAGCACUCCUUCAGUCAGAACUCUGGCGUGUUUGGAGCCAGCUCUGCCUGACCUUGCCUUAGAGUUAGAAUGAAAACUCCAAGCAGAGUAAUCCCAGUGUGCUCCGAGUGGUUUCAUUUCUGGUGGACCAAGACUGAAGUCAUGUAUCUUUCAGGACGUGCCUUAUUACAUGUCUCUCACACAGCAAGCCAAAGUAGCAGCAACUGUUUGUUCUAAGAUACAUGAAGUGACUUUCCAAGACAGUCCUCCAAGGAGUACACUAAAGAGCUCUGAAGAGCUUGAAGAUGGUACAUACAGAGGGUCACACCUUUGAACUUCUCUUGACUGCCCUGAGACAUCCCACUGAAGCUGACAUUUAUGUUAAAUGACUUCACGCUGGUCUCAUUAUUGCAGUAAAUACUAAAUGAAUCUGAUGUUGAACACUUACAGUCUUACCUUUCUUGAUAAAUCUAUGUUAAUGUUACAUUAAUUAUUCCUGACUUACAAUGCUGUUGAAUGUUGAUAAAGGCUGAAUUGCUACUUGAAAUGCUGAUCCUGACAGUCCUGUGGCAGGCGCUAAAAUGUGAUUUCCAACUCUUAAGGGAAAAGAGGGAAUACAUUACUACUUCUGAUUAGAGGGCUUCAGAAGAAACAUAUUCUAGUCACAUAUUGUGGAGCGCUCGCCUGAAUCCCUCUUGCUUUCAGUAGCCAGUGCCUUUGCACAAGACAUAAAAGGAAUAUAAACUUCACUUUUUUAUUCAAAAUUUUAUGGUGAUUACUGAUGUGGAAUCAGUUCAGCGCAUAUGAACUGUUUCCCCUGAGAAAGUAUACAUGCUGCUGUGGGCAUUUUCUUUGCAUGUGAGAGCUGACACGUGGGACUAAAGCUUGCAAGCAAAGAGAGAGACUACUUCUCACUCGUAUCACCUUCCCUGCAAUUUUAGUUCUGAACUUUUUGACUCCAGACUCUCUCCUGGCCUGUUUCUGUGUACCUAUCAGUUAUCUUGGGUAUCCCUUGUGUAGCACUGCAGCUUUCAUGAUGUAAAGAGUAUGGGAACUGUGUAGCAAAAUAGAAGACUGCCAGGACAGGCAGUGCUGAAUCUCCCAGUGAAUUUAGUGCAGUAUUUGAAGAAAAAGGAUUUGGGACAAAAUUAAAAAAAGCCCCUGAGUAGUUUUAGAAGCCUCAGCCAUAAAUUUUUGAAAAAAUCCUCUGUGAUGACCUCAGGUACUGAUCCUUUCACCUGGGGGUUCCUGCACAGGCAGAUGCUCUGAUGAACACCCACCAAAGGCUGGGUCUAUUAGUACAGGGUCCUAUCAGCUGUGUUCAGCUGAGGUCCUCCAAAUUCCCAUCUUCUCAGGUGCUGCAGGAGGAAAUAAGCUGUGACAUUUCUCUUUUGCUCUACCCCUCCCCAAAGUCUGAAUUAACCCUUGUGGAAGCAGAAGUGGAAGAGGAAGGGAGGAGAAAUACUCAUGAAGUGGUGUUUUGGGGAGUGGGAGGAACCUUCUCUGCUGUCCUGCACAACCAACCAGUCGACCUUCACUGCAGGAAGAAGUGUUCCAUUUCUCAGAGGGUGUUUGAGGUUUCUGUUUGUUUGUUUAUUAAGAAAGCAAGCGAGCAUCUGGCAUAUGUAUGCAAACAUUGAUGAGUCAUUUGAAAUACACUCGGUGCUGCACUAGUUGAGGCUGAGACCUCCAAGCUACAAGAAGAAAUGUGAUGGAAGGGAGCAGGCAGACCCUGAAAGGCUGCUUUCCAAGCACAGGGAGGGGAGACAAAUCUGAUUUUUUCCCUCCUUUCUCUUCCCCCCUCACCACCACUCCUAGGAGCAUUUCCAGCCCUCUAAAACUCCUUGGUGAGGACUUUGAAAUCUGAGUUAAAAUGACUCUCUUUGAUGCUGCUGUGCCCUCCAUAGAGAGCCCAGCGCUUGCCAGUGGGUCUCUCCAAGAAAAGCACUUUAUUUCCGGCACUGCUCAGGGCCACAAAUAGACUUUGUGGUGGCGUGGGAGAAGUGUGGAUAGGUUCUGCUCUGUCCUUUCCGCAGUGUUAACUGGCAGCUAGAUCCAGUCAAAUCACUUAAAAUUCAUAAAUAUAUGGGAAGUGAAGCUCUAAGAAGACUCAGAUGCUUUCUGUCUUGUUUAUGAGCAGCACAGCAGGCUGGGAAGCUCUGGUUGGAGCAGCGUUUGAAGGCCCAUAGACGUGGGGAUCCAUCACAAGGAUUAUAGGAACUUCUGAAAUUUCUUUACAAAAGGCAAUUUCUUGGUAUAAAUUGAACGUUUAAAACUUUGGUAGUGUAACACUGAGAGAAUUCCAAUCCUGGGAGCAAGAACUCUUCCUGCUUUAGAUUUGUUUCUGGGGAGGAGGUAUAAUCUAAAUCUCCCAACAGGAAAAGAUAUUGUG
Cuculus canorus (common cuckoo) is the source of this 4965-nucleotide long non-coding RNA. RefSeq lists it as uncharacterized. Lineage: Eukaryota; Metazoa; Chordata; Aves; Cuculiformes; Cuculidae. The transcript is spliced from 5 exons. The record is from RefSeq and is a predicted model, not a curated record.